RNAcentral lists this ribosomal RNA (497 nucleotides) under uncultured bacterium. Its description in RNAcentral is "partial 16S ribosomal RNA". It matches the Rfam family "Bacterial small subunit ribosomal RNA", at positions 28 to 507 of the family's 1533-position model. The record is from RNAcentral.
GAUGAACGCUGGCGGCGUGCCUAAUACAUGCAAGUCGAGCGAAGAGACGAGGAGUUUGCUCCUCUGACGUUAGCGGCGGACGGGUGAGUAACACGUGGAUAACCUACCUAUAAGACUGGGAUAACUUCGGGAAACCGGAGCUAAUACCGGAUAAUAUAUUGAACCGCAUGGUUCAAUAGUGAAAGACGGUUUUGCUGUGACUUAUAGAUGGAUCCGCGCCGCAUUAGCUAGUUGGUAAGGUAACGGCUUACCAAGGCAACGAUGCGUAGCCGACCUGAGAGGGUGGUCGGCCACACUGGAACUGAGACACGGUCCAGGCUCCUACGGGAGGCAGCAGUAGGGAAUCUUCCGCAGUGGGCGGGAGCCUGACGGAGCAGCGCCGCGUGAGUGGUGGAGGUCUUCGGAUCGUAAAGCUCUGUUAUUAGGUGAAAACAAAUGUGUAAGUGACUAUGCACGUCUUGACGGUACCUGAACAGAAAGCCACGGCUAACUACGUG